Molecule: transfer RNA, 72 nt
Filed under: Lignosus rhinocerotis TM02
Lineage: Eukaryota; Fungi; Basidiomycota; Agaricomycetes; Polyporales; Polyporaceae
Description: tRNA-Thr (AGT) (tRNA-Thr-AGT-2-1)
Rfam family: tRNA
About the family: Transfer RNA (tRNA) molecules are approximately 80 nucleotides in length.
Source: RNAcentral
UCCCGCUUAGCUCAGUGGUAGCGCGCAUCACUAGUAAUGAUGAGGUCAGUCGUUCAAGUCGGCUAGUGGGGA